Molecule: long non-coding RNA, 621 nt
Organism: Carassius gibelio (silver crucian carp)
Lineage: Eukaryota; Metazoa; Chordata; Actinopteri; Cypriniformes; Cyprinidae
Exons: 3
Source: RefSeq, a predicted model, not a curated record
UCUUGCUCAGGUGUGUUUGAUUAGGGUUAGAGCUCAACUCUGCAGGAAAGUGGAUCUCGAGGUCCAGAUCGGAGGAUUCCUGUUCUGUGAUCUGCUGGUGAUCAGAUCGGACUCAUCUGCAUUGCUAAACUACAGACAGGUGAAUGUCAGAAACCAUCUCUGAUAACCACAGCCAUGCUGACCUUUUCAAAAGGAGAUGAACCUUCACCGAUCGUCAUUUCAACUGUGUCAGACGCUGAUAAUAUCUGAGUCGUUAAUUUGCUCUGUGAUCUGUUUCCGCCCGUGGCUGUGAUUUUAACACACCCUCAUUAGUGCACAUGAUUAAUUAGACUUGUCACUGACAUGAGCGAUGCUGCUGUGAUCCAAAUAUCGAAUCUUCCACCAAAGCCUCUUUACACAUGUUUGUUUUUUUAAUAAAGAUCUUGAAGAUGCUGCUGAUGUAUAUUAUUCUCUACUCAAUGUUUCCUGAACAUUAAAGGCGUUCCGCUGAGUUUCAGACGCUGUCAGACAGAAAAUGAUGUGGAUUAAUAUUUAGUGUAAGUGUUAAACAGACUGAUGAUGACUGCUGUAAACAUCUGAAGAUUGUACUGCUGAAUGAUUAAAUACAGAAGUAUGAGAGAA